This 465-nucleotide ribosomal RNA is filed under the name uncultured bacterium. RNAcentral describes it as "partial 16S ribosomal RNA". It matches the Rfam family "Bacterial small subunit ribosomal RNA", at positions 338 to 795 of the family's 1533-position model. The record is from RNAcentral.
CCUACGGGUGGCAGCAGUGGGGAAUAUUGCGCAAUGGGCGAAAGCCUGACGCAGCGACGCCGCGUGAGGGAUGAAGGUCCUCGGAUCGUAAACCUCUGUCAGCAGGGAAGUACGGUCCCUUUGCUAAUCAGCAUUGAAUUGACGGUACCUGCAAAGGAAGCACCGGCUCACUCCGUGCCAGCAGCCGCGGUAAUACGGAGGGUGCGAGCGUUGAUCGGAAUUACUGGGCGUAAGGGGCUCGUAGGCGGUAUGUGAAGUCAAGGGUGAAAUCCCCACGCUAAACGUGGGAGCUGCCGUUGAAACUGGAGAACUGGAGUGUGGGAGAGGAAAGUGGAAUUCCAGGUGUAGGAGUGAAAUGCGUAGAUAUCUGGAAGAACAUCAGUGGCGAAGGCGACUAGCUGGGACGUAACUGACGCUGAGGAGCGAAAGCGUGGGUAGCAAACAGGAUUAGAUACCCGAGUAGUC